GAGGGGUGGCAGAAAAAUGCUUUAGGCCUAAGCCCUAACCAUGAGUUAAAUCUCCCCUUCCA
RNAcentral lists this transfer RNA (62 nucleotides) under Margaritifera margaritifera (freshwater pearlshell mussel). Its description in RNAcentral is "tRNA-Leu". Lineage: Eukaryota; Metazoa; Mollusca; Bivalvia; Unionida; Margaritiferidae. The record is from RNAcentral.